This 72-nucleotide transfer RNA is filed under the name Camelus bactrianus (Bactrian camel). It matches the Rfam family "tRNA". From Rfam's summary of the family: Transfer RNA (tRNA) molecules are approximately 80 nucleotides in length. Their secondary structure includes four short double-helical elements and three loops (D, anti-codon, and T loops). Lineage: Eukaryota; Metazoa; Chordata; Mammalia; Artiodactyla; Camelidae. RNAcentral also lists the same sequence under 2 other names. The record is from Rfam by way of RNAcentral.
GAGGGUAUAGCUCAGUGGUAGACUGCACUCUUGGCAGGCACGAGGUCCUGGGUUCAAUCCCCAGUACCUCCA